GACAGAGGUGCCGAGCGUUAGGCGGAAUCACUGGGCUUAAAGCGUGUGUAGGCGGAUUGGUAAGUACCUUGUGAAAUCCCACGGCUUAACCGGGGAACUGCGUCUGAUACUGGAUGGCUGGAGUGUGGGAGAGGGAUGCGGAAUUCCAGGUGUAGCGGUGGAAUGCGUAGAUAUCUGGAGGAACACCGGUGGCGAAGGCGGCAUCCUGGACCAUUACUGACACUGAAAAGCGAAAGCCAGGGGAGCAAACGGG
This 253-nucleotide ribosomal RNA is filed under the name uncultured bacterium. RNAcentral's name for it is "partial 16S ribosomal RNA". It matches the Rfam family "Bacterial small subunit ribosomal RNA", at positions 524 to 776 of the family's 1533-position model. The record is from RNAcentral.